ACGCUCGACACCUACGGAGGCAGCAGUGGGGAAUAUUGCACAAUGGGGGAAACCCUGAUGCAGCGACGCCGCGUGAGCGAAGAAGUAUUUCGGUAUGUAAAGCUCUAUCAGCAGGGAAGAUCAUGACGGUACCUGACUAAGAAGCUCCGGCUAAAUACGUGCCAGCAGUCGCGGUAAUCUGAGCGGGCUGGCAAGGC
This 197-nucleotide ribosomal RNA is filed under the name uncultured bacterium. Its description in RNAcentral is "partial 16S ribosomal RNA". It matches the Rfam family "Bacterial small subunit ribosomal RNA", at positions 328 to 539 of the family's 1533-position model. The record is from RNAcentral.